UACGUAGGUGGCAAGCGUUGUCCGGAUUUAUUGGGUUUAAAGGGUGCGUAGGCGGUCUUGUAAGUCAGUGGUGAAAUCCGGCAGCUCAACUGUCGAUGUGCCUUUGAUACUGUUAGACUUGAGUACAGACGAGGUAGGCGGAAUUGACGGUGUAGCGGUGAAAUGCUUAGAUAUCGUCAAGAACACCGAUAGCGAAGGCAGCUUACUAGACUGUAACUGACGCUGAUGCACGAAAGUGUGGGGAUCAAACAGG
This 253-nucleotide ribosomal RNA is filed under the name uncultured bacterium. RNAcentral describes it as "partial 16S ribosomal RNA". It matches the Rfam family "Bacterial small subunit ribosomal RNA", at positions 524 to 776 of the family's 1533-position model. The record is from RNAcentral.